RNAcentral lists this ribosomal RNA (253 nucleotides) under uncultured bacterium. Its description in RNAcentral is "partial 16S ribosomal RNA". It matches the Rfam family "Bacterial small subunit ribosomal RNA", at positions 524 to 776 of the family's 1533-position model. The record is from RNAcentral.
UACGUAGGCAGCAAGCGUUGUUCGGAAUUAUUGGGCGUAAAGAGCUCGUAGGCGGUCUGUCGCGUCGGCUGUGAAAACCCGGAGCUCAACUCCGGGCCUGCAGUCGAUACGGGCAGACUGGAGUUCGGCAGGGGAGACUGGAAUUCCUGGUGUAGCGGUGAAAUGCGCAGAUAUCAGGAGGAACACCGGUGGCGAAGGCGGGUCUCUGGGCCGAUAUUGACGCUGAGGAGCGAAAGCGUGGGGAGCAAACAGG